GAGUAAGAAGUUUUCAAGUUACUGGUUUUUUUUUUUUUUCCCUUAGUAGAAAUAGUUGUUUAAAUCAUUUUUAAAAUUAGCUGGUAAGAAUUGUAAGGAUUGAAAUUGAUAGGUUAGCUUAGAUUUGUCAGGGAGUGAGGCUUGUGAACUGGAUUACAUUAGUGUCGAAUGAGCAAUUUUAGACAAUCCAUGGGUGGAUAAUAAUGAAGAAAUAUUAAUCAGAUAUCUUGUUGGGUUGGGUAAAUAUAUAUCAUGGUUUUGAAGUUAUUGUCAUUGUCUUACUCGAUCGAAUCAAAACCUAACUCACUCAAGUGCAAGACAUCAUAUGAAUGAAUAAAAAUGAUAUACAACCAUUCAAAGAGCCUAAACUAUUGGCUGAGGUAUGACGUCCCGCACCUAGAAGUGACCUCUCCUAUCGAUAAAAGCUUGGAAGUCUAACAGACUUGAUAUGCCAAGCCCCAUUUC
Molecule: long non-coding RNA, 465 nt
Filed under: Elaeis guineensis (African oil palm)
Lineage: Eukaryota; Viridiplantae; Streptophyta; Magnoliopsida; Arecales; Arecaceae
Description: long non-coding RNA (EGUI_LNC030380)
Source: RNAcentral